RNAcentral lists this ribosomal RNA (510 nucleotides) under uncultured bacterium. RNAcentral describes it as "partial 16S ribosomal RNA". It matches the Rfam family "Bacterial small subunit ribosomal RNA", at positions 28 to 507 of the family's 1533-position model. The record is from RNAcentral.
GACGAACGCUGGCGGCGUGCUUAACACAUGCAAGUCGAACGAAGAGCGAUGGAAGCUUGCUUCUAUCAAUCUUAGUGGCGCACGGGUGUGUAACGCGUAAUCAACUUGACCUUCAGAGGGGGACAAACGUUGGAAACGACUGCUAAUACCGCAUACGAUCUAAUCUCUGCAUCGAGGAUAGAUGCAAGGUGGCCUCUACAUGUAAGCUAUCACUGAAGGUGGGGAUUGCGUCUGGUUAGCUAGCUGGAGGGGUAACGGCCCAACCAGGCGUUGGUCAGGAGCCGGUCUGAGGGGGAGGACGGCCACAAUGGGACUUGAACACGGCCCAGGCUUCUACGGGGAGCAGCAGUGGGGAAUCUUCCGCAAUGGAGGAAAGUCUGGCGGAACAACGCCGCGGUGGGGAUGACGGCCUUCGGGUUGUAAAGCUCUGUUAGUCGGGACAAAAGGCCUUCUGGCGAAUAGUGAGAAGUAUUGACGGUACCGGAAGAGAAAGCCACGGCUAACUACGUG